This is a non-coding RNA of Pelobates cultripes (western spadefoot toad), 300 nucleotides long. Lineage: Eukaryota; Metazoa; Chordata; Amphibia; Anura; Pelobatidae. The record is from the annotation of a GenBank genome assembly.
CAUUUUGAAGGGUGUGUACUUACCCCUUUAUAAGCGGCUUCCUAUGUACUUGCGGCUUCCUAUGUACAUGCCAGUCCAUAGCAUCAAUGCCUUCUUCUUGCAGUGACUGCUGACACACUCCAGCCACAUGAGGUCUAGCAUUGUCUUGCAUUAGGAGGAACCCAGGGUCAACCGCACCAGCAUAUGGUCUCACAAGGGGUCGGAGGAUCUAAUUUCGGUACUUAAUGGCAGUCAGGCUACCUCUGGCGAGCACAUGGAGGGCUGUGCGCCCCCCCAUAGAAAUGCCACCCCACACCAUUA